Oreochromis niloticus (Nile tilapia) is the source of this 375-nucleotide long non-coding RNA. RefSeq lists it as uncharacterized. The transcript has 3 exons. NCBI's taxonomy places the organism in Eukaryota, Metazoa, Chordata, Actinopteri, Cichliformes, Cichlidae. The record is from RefSeq and is a predicted model, not a curated record.
AGAGCAAUGUCAGGGAAAGGUGGACUGAGCAGCAGUCAUCAUUGUCACCUGUGAUUUCUACAAAUGAAGGCACUUCUUCACCUGUUCAUGAUCCACCAGAUAACGAGGAUGUGGUGCCUUUUGAAACAUCUUCUCCUUCAACAUCAUGUACGACACCAGGCCAUCCACAUGAUAUAUCUCAAAAUCCAGCGGAGGGACCUAGACAGCCACACUUAAAGAUAUUUCCUCGAACAGUACAUGGUGAAAAGAAGAGGGCCUUCAGCAAGACAUGGUAUUCACAACACAAAUGGCUGGAAUAUUCUCAAAGUCGGGACUCUGUCUAUUGUUUUGCAUGUAGACACUUUUCCCUUCCAAAUGCUUCUGAAACUCCUUUUA